UGGGGAAUAUUGGACAAUGGGCGCAAGCCUGAUCCAGCCACGCCGCGUGAGUGAUGAAGGCCUUCGGGUUGUAAAGCUCUGUGGGGAGGGGCGAAAACGGCUAGUAAGAAACGACUAGUCCUUGACGGUACCUCCUUAGCAAGCACCGGCUAACUCUGUGCCAGCAGCCGCGGUAAUACAGAGGGUGCGAACGUUGCUCGGAAUUACUGGGCGUAAAGCGCGUGUAGGCGGAUGGGUAAGUCAGAUGUGAAAUCCCCGAGCUCAACUCGGGAACUGCAUUUGAAACUGCUCGUCUAGAGUACCGGAGAGGGUGGCGGAAUUCCUGGUGUAGAGGUGAAAUUCGUAGAUAUCAGGAGGAACACCGGUGGCGAAGGCGGCCACCUGGACGGUCACUGACGCUGAGACGCGAAAGCGUGGGGAGCAAACAGG
RNAcentral lists this ribosomal RNA (429 nucleotides) under uncultured bacterium. Its description in RNAcentral is "bacterial SSU rRNA". It matches the Rfam family "Bacterial small subunit ribosomal RNA", at positions 355 to 776 of the family's 1533-position model. The record is from RNAcentral.